AGUGAACGCUGGCGGUAGGCCUAACACAUGCAAGUCGAACGGCAGCACAGUAAGAGCUUGCUCUUUCGGGUGGCGAGUGGCGGACGGGUGAGGAAUACAUCAGAAUCUACUUUUUCGUGGGGGAUAACGUAGGGAAACUUACGCUAAUACCGCAUACGACCUACGGGUGAAAGCAGGGGAUCUUCGGACCUUGCGCGAUUGAAUGAGCCGAUGUCGGAUUAGCUAGUUGGCGGGGUAAAGGCCCACCAAGGCGACGAUCCGUAGCUGGUCUGAGAGGAUGAUCAGCCACACUGGAACUGAGACACGGUCCAGACUCCUACGGGAGGCAGCAGUGGGGAAUAUUGGACAAUGGGCGCAAGCCUGAUCCAGCCAUACCGCGUGGGUGAAGAAGGCCUUCGGGUUGUAAAGCCCUUUUGUUGGGAAAGAAAAGCAGCAGGUUAAUACCCCGCUGUUCUGACGGUACCCAAAGAAUAAGCACCGGCUAACUUCGUG
RNAcentral lists this ribosomal RNA (492 nucleotides) under uncultured bacterium. RNAcentral describes it as "partial 16S ribosomal RNA". It matches the Rfam family "Bacterial small subunit ribosomal RNA", at positions 29 to 507 of the family's 1533-position model. The record is from RNAcentral.